GGACCCAUAGCUCAACUGGAUAGAGUACUUGACUUCGAAUCAAGGGGUUGGGGGUUCGAAUCCUCCUGGGUCCGCCA
RNAcentral lists this transfer RNA (77 nucleotides) under Paracoccaceae bacterium. RNAcentral describes it as "Rhodobacteraceae bacterium tRNA-Arg". It matches the Rfam family "tRNA". Rfam says of the family: Transfer RNA (tRNA) molecules are approximately 80 nucleotides in length. The record is from RNAcentral. Lineage: Bacteria; Pseudomonadati; Pseudomonadota; Alphaproteobacteria; Rhodobacterales; Paracoccaceae. RNAcentral also lists the same sequence under 5 other names.